Molecule: ribosomal RNA, 1503 nt
Filed under: Triticum aestivum (bread wheat)
Lineage: Eukaryota; Viridiplantae; Streptophyta; Magnoliopsida; Poales; Poaceae
Description: partial small subunit ribosomal RNA
Source: RNAcentral
AUGGAGAUGAUACUGGACUGGCGCUCGGUGGGCUCGCUGAUCGCCACGGUCAUGGUGUUCCGAACGGCCAUGCGGGACUUCAUCCCGCCGGAGGCCGAGCAGUGGCUGCGGCGCCUGCUCGCGCGCCUCGCCGCCGCGUUCCGGGCGCCCACGGCCACCAUCCUCAUCGACGAGGCCGACGGCGCCAGCUCCGGCGCCACCAACGACCUCUACGACGCCGCGCAGCUCUACCUCGGCUCGCGCUGCCUCGCCGCCGCCCCCGCCGUGCGCCUCUACAAGCCGCGCCAGUCGGAGCGCGCCGUCGCCUCGCUCCCGGACUCGCACACCGCGGACGACACCUUCCAGGGCGUCCGUGUCAAGUGGACCUCCACCGCGCGCCCCGUCGAGCGCGGGGCCGGGCACAACCCCUACAACGUGUUCGGCAGCCGCGGCGGCGGUGCCGGCGGCGACCACCGCAGCCUCGAGCUCCAGUUCCCGCGCCAGCACCGCGACUUCGUGCACGACACCUACAUCCCCCACAUCAUCGCCGAGGCCACCCGGAUGCGGCUCAAGUCGCGGGAGCGCAGGCUCUACACCAACCGCGCCGCCGCGCCCGGCGACGACCACCACCGCCUCUGGACCUCCCACACCUUCUCCCACCCCUCCACCUUCGACACGCUCGCUGUCGACCCGGCGCUCCGCGAGGAGAUCCGCGCCGACCUACUCCGCUUCGCCGCCCGCCGGGAGCACUACGCGCGCGUCGGCCGCGCCUGGAAGCGCGGGUACCUGCUCCACGGCCCGCCCGGCACCGGCAAGACCAGCCUCGUGGCCGCCAUCGCCAACCUCCUCGAGUUCGACGUGUACGACCUGGAGCUCACCACGGUGCCCACCAACUCCCACCUCCGCCGCCUGCUCGUCUCCACCACGCCCAAGUCCGUCGUCGUCGUCGAGGACAUCGACUGCUCCCUCGACCUCUCCGACCGCAAGAAGAACUCCGGCGGCGCCGACGAGGACAACGCGCAGCUGGCGAUGCUCUCCCCGGCCGCCGCGGCGGCCAUGGCGGCGAUCGGGCGCGAGUCCAUCAGCCUCUCCGGCGUCCUCAACUUCGUGGACGGGCUCUGGUCGUCCUGCGUGGGCGAGCGCCUGAUGAUCUUCACCACCAACCAUCCGGAGCGGCUGGACCCGGCGCUGCUCCGCCCGGGCCGCAUGGACCGCAAGAUCGAGCUGGGCUACUGCACGCCCGCGGCGCUCCGCGUGCUCGCCAAGAACUACAUCGGCGUCGGCGAGGACCCCAUGGACGAGCCCGACACUGUGGUGGACGGCCUCAUGGCCGAGGCCGAGGGCCUGCUCGCCGCCGACGUGCGCAUCACGCCGGCAGACAUCGGCGAGGUGUUCAUGGGUUGCGACGGCGCGGGCGCCUCCGCCGCGCUGAGGAGGCUUGUCGGGGAGCUGCGCGGCAGGAGAGACACGCCGGCCGUCGACACGGUGCAGCCCGGUGCAUUGACAGAGGAGAAGAUGGAGUGA